UUGUCUGACAGGACCUAUUGAUGGAGAGUCCAAGAACCCCUUAUUAUUCUAGGCAGAGGUGGGGCAGCCUGCAUUUAGCUGGAGGUUACUAAAGGUGCAUGAAAUGAAACCAGAAACUUGAGCUCUUUGGGGGUGGGGACUGUCUUACUGGCUUUGCAACACCAGCACUAUGGCAAAGUCUGUCUUUUAGUAGAGGGCCUUCUAAGAGCAGAUUUCCUCUCUCCAGUUCAGGAACACUUUUCUGUCUUAAAAGGGUCUCCUUCUCAAAUGUUGAUGUCCCUGAGAGGUUUUGCUUUGAAUGAUUUUCCGCUAGGAUCAAAACAAUCAGUGAGUGGCUGGGCGCAGUGGCUCAUGACUGUAAUCCCAGCACUUUGGCCGAGGUGGGAGGAUCACUUGAGGCCAGGAAUUCGAGACCAGCCUGCUCAACAUGGCGAGAACCUGUCCCUACAAAAACAUAAGAAAUUAACCAGGCUUGAUGGUAUUUAUAUGAUGUCAGCAAAAGAAAGAGGCCCUUUCUCCCCUCACCGCCCACCUCCAUUUGGAUUUUGCAGCCUGAGCACCGUCCUCUAAUGGAGCCACUACUUACCUUUCCCACUUCAGCUCCCUAGGGAGAACUGAAGGGCUGCUUUCCCAGAAGCCACCAAGGCUCUCCAGCUGCACCCCCAGAGCCACUGCUGGCAGUUGAGAUUCCCCUGGGAGGUGAGAAUCUGUGAGUCUUCCUAACCACCAGGCCCCAACCAUCUGGGAACAUUUGAGUUCAAAUAACCCAACCAGUCCUGUCCUGCAGGUCUCGAUCCCCUUAAGCAGAGCUAAGAUCCACCUGGAAUGUAUCAGCGCUAUUAUCAGUACUAGUUGUUGACACAUGGAGUCCAUUCUGAUGGGCUGGUGCCUGUCCUCUACCAGUUGUUAAGUAUUUUGGCUAUCACUUCUGUCCUCUGUUGCCAUGCCUCGCACUUCAACCCCUCCUACACUCCUCCCCUGGGCUUCCUCCCCUAGUCCUGCCUUUCGCUGCUGAUUGCCUUUGGUAUCAGACAGGCGCCCAGUAAGCAACAGAUGGCACACCCAAAUUGGGUAAUUUGAGAAGAAUGUAAUAAGGGACUAUUUAGGAAAGUGUGGGCAGGGUAUAGGGAAACCACUAGGGGUAGGGCAGUACCCCGGGGCAAGGGGAGGGACCAGUAAUAGAGAGGGAUGGGUGGAGAAAGCUCUGGUGUGAGCUGAGACCCCUGGCUGGUUGCUGGAGGCAGACAGUUCACUAUUAUUCAUCAGUGAGAAAACCUGGGAAAUUAAAAACCCCAAUCUCCCUCUCUUUCCUCCCUUCCAUCUCCUGUAGGUAUCCCAUUUUCCAAACCGAACAGAGGGCACAGGAGCCCAUUGAACCAGUCUAUCCAUAGAGGUCAGCCUCCUAGGCACAGAACAUGGUGGGGAGGGGUGGAGAGUGGAUCUGGAGGGGCAAAUGAAAUAUAUUUAGCCCCCCUCCCAUAAUAUUUUAGAAGAACUUUAUCAUGAAAAAAAUUCAAACAUAUUUUAAAAGCAGAGUAGUAUAAUAAACCCAAAAUACCCGCCAUCCAGCUUCAACAAUGAUUAUUUGAGAGCCAAUCAUCUCAUUUUAUCUAUAUUCUCACUCACUCUUACCUCUUUAUUAUUUUGCAGCAAAUGCUGGGCUUCACAUCAUUUCAUCUGUCAAUAAUUCGUAUGCAUCUCUAAAAGAUAAGGAUUCUUUUUAAACCAUAACACCAUUAGCACAGCAAAAAAGUAAAAAAUAAUAAUGAUAAAAUAAAAAUAAUUCCUUAAUAUUAUCAAAU
This 1802-nucleotide long non-coding RNA is filed under the name Pan troglodytes (chimpanzee). RNAcentral's name for it is "lncRNA (ENSPTRG00000053756.1)". The record is from RNAcentral. Lineage: Eukaryota; Metazoa; Chordata; Mammalia; Primates; Hominidae.